GUACAAACCGAUGGCAUCUCCCAGGCAUUUCUGAACCAUUUUCACGUGCCUCUACUCUCCGGCCGUCUCCACACCACCCUGUGUUCUGCCAAAGGGAGCUAAAAUGAGCCCUGUUUUACCAAACCACUCAAGCACGGCUGACACAGUGUGUUGCUGCAGAAGGAUCGGGGUGGGUGGGAGUAGGGACAGUGCAGAGAGAAAGAAAGGAGUGCAUGCUACAUCUCUCCCUCUCCAAGAGGACUUGGCAGAAAGCCCAUGCAUGUUUCAAGCUUGUUUUGACAGUUCCAUGACAGGAGUCAUAGGGCUGUAGCUGUAGAAAGCCCAAGAAACACAUUUUUGUUAUCCCAUCAAAAUCUUCCCGGGGAGCUACAUUGUUGGGGCAAGUUAUGUGUCAUCACUGGCAUCAAAAGAGAAAAAGAAAUGAAUGAUCUGGCUCAGGUGCCAAGGCUCUCGUCCUGAGGAGGGAAAUGACAUUUAUUGAGCCCCUGCAAUAGCAACAACAAAUUAUUAUUAUUGGGCACUUUGCAUGUGCCAGGCACUGGGAUAAAACACAGGCAUGGACUCAGCAAUCCCGAUGACUGUCCUUGGAUACAGGCUGUGCUAAUUAUCCCCCUUUUAAAGACCAGGCAAUGGAGGCGCAGAGGGGCCAGGUGAUGUGCCCGAGGCUGCAUGGCAGUAAGUGGCGAAGGUGGGAUUUGAACUGGUUUGCCUCUCCCAGAGUCCAAAUCCUUCCUUGCAACGCAGAGCUGCUCUGACUGUAAGGAGUGUGGGGUCUCUCCUCAGAGUCCCAGAUACUCAGGAUCUCAUUUAAUCUUCGCAACAACCCUGAGGCAUAGGGGUUUUUAGAUCUGCUUUACAGAUGAAGAAACUGAGGUCCAGGGAGGCUUAGUGAUGCCCAAAGCCACACCUCCAGAAGCAGCAGGAUCUGCAGGCACAGCUGGGUGUCCUGGCCCUGGGUCAAGCGACUUUCCUACUGACUUCCACCCACAAGGGCUGCAUGAUGGUUAAUACUGAGUAACAACUUGAUCAGAUUGAAGGAUGCAAAGUAUUGUUUCUGGGUGUGUCUUCGAGGGUGUUGCCAAAGGAGAUUAAUAUUUGAGUCAGUGGGCUAGGGAAGGCAGACCCACCCUUAAUCUGGUGGGCACAAUCUAAUCAGCUGCCAACGAAUAUAAAGCAGGCAGAAAAAUGUGAAAAGGCGAGACUGGCUUAGCCUCCAGCCCAUAUCUUUCUCCCGUGCUGGAUGCUUCCUGCCCUCGAACAUCAGACUCCAAGUUCUUCAGUUUUGGGACUCUGCCUGGCUCUCCUUGCUCUUCAAGCCUGCAGAUGGCCUAUUGUGGGACCUUGUGAUCAUAGAAGAACAACCUCCUGCCCUUGCCCUGAAUCCUGAGGAAGGUGAUGCACUCACAACAAGGGCAUCCCAGUCCUGGGGAAGGGCAGGAAGGACCCACCCUCAUCAGUCCCUGACAACUCCCACCCUUGUCCUUGGUCACCUUGGAAAUGAAAAGGUUCUCAGAAGGCAGUCACAUCUGGACAGCAUUCCUUGACUACGCAUCAAUAUUCCAUCAUGUCAUUGCCGGCUGUGAGGAGGAAAGUGACCUCCUAAACAAAUCCGUGCACGUGUAAAUGACAGCUGCUGGUUUGAAUCUGUUUCUUCUCCCACCACUUCCUCUUCUGAUCAAAGAGCCCACCUUUUCAUUUGGAGGAACCAUUUCUCAACUGGUCUCAUUCUGUGAGGUUUAGAGUUCUCUUUUUGAGGCAGUUCAAGUGGAAAAAGAAAUAACCUAGAAGCAAGUAAAACAACCUUAUUCAAAAACAACAAAAAUCCUUCAGGGUUUUCACAAACGUAGUGAAUUUUCAGCUUGUAAUUUGCUGUCUCCGGUGAGCGCGGUGCUGAGAAGACCCGUGAUGCUCUCUUUGAAGCCCAUUUGCGGCAUGCCCCAGGCCUGGGACCUCCAUUAAGCACCAGGGCCUCGCCAAGCACCGAUAUUUGUUGAGUACCUUCCAUUUGCUAAAUACUGUGCUUUGAAGGCACUGGGAAUUCAAUGAUGAGCAAAGUAGAUAUGGUCCUUGACCUCAUGGAGCUUGAGGGAAAAUGAAGAAGACAUUCACCUAAAUAAAUAGAUAAUUGCAAAAUUUAAUACAUCAAAUUUAAGUCAAUAUUAUUGAGAUAUAAUUACAUACAAUAAAAUUCACACAUAUGAAGUCUAUAGGUCAAUGACUUUUGACAAAUGCCACCAUUUAUGUAACCAACAUCCUAAUUAAGAUAUAGAACAUUUCCAUCAUUUCCAUCUCUCCAAAAGCUUCCUCACAUGCCUUCCCAGUCAAUCUCCCCGUAUCUAAAUCCUACUAUCUGCUUACCACCUCUGAUUAUUUUUGCCUACUUUAGAAUUUCAUAUAAAUGGAAUAAUACAGCAUACAUUGUUUUGUGUAUGUUUUCUUUCCCUCAGCCUAAUGUCUCUGAGAUUCCCCCAUGUUGCUGUGUGUAGCAUGACCUGUUCCUUUAUAUGGCUGAGUAUGUACAUAAGGGUGUACCACAAUUUGUUUAUCAAUUCACCUGUUGAUGGACAUUUGGGUUGUUUACAGCUUUUGUCAAUUUUUAAUAAAGCUUCUGUAUACAUUUGUGUUC
Molecule: long non-coding RNA, 2626 nt
Organism: Homo sapiens (human)
Lineage: Eukaryota; Metazoa; Chordata; Mammalia; Primates; Hominidae
Product: long intergenic non-protein coding RNA 2133
Source: Ensembl